RNAcentral lists this ribosomal RNA (253 nucleotides) under uncultured bacterium. Its description in RNAcentral is "partial 16S ribosomal RNA". It matches the Rfam family "Bacterial small subunit ribosomal RNA", at positions 524 to 776 of the family's 1533-position model. The record is from RNAcentral.
UACGUAGGGGGCUAGCGUUGUCCGGAUUUAUUGGGCGUAAAGAGCGUGUAGGCGGCCAGGUAGGUCUGCUGUGAAAACUCGAGGCUCAACCUCGAGACGUCGGCGGAAACCAUCUGGCUAGAGUCCGGAAGAGGAGAGUGGAAUUCCUGGUGUAGCGGUGAAAUGCGCAGAUAUCAGGAAGAAGACCAGCGGCGAAGGCGGCGCUCUGGGACGGUACUGACACUGAGGAGCGAAGGCGUGGGUAGCAAACAGG